GUUUACCAAAAACAUGGCUUCUUGUAAUUCAAUAAAAUAAGGAGUCGGACCUGCCCAGUGAAGUUUUUUAACGGCCGCGGUACUCUGACCGUGCAAAGGUAGCAUAAUCAUUUGCCUUAUAAUUGGAGGCUAGUAUGAAUGGUUUGACAAGAAUAUAGCUGUCUCUUUUUGAUUUAUUAGAACUUUAUUUUAAGGUGAAGAAGCCUUAAUUUAAUUAAAAGACAAGAAGACCCUGUCGAGCUUUAAAAAAGUCAAUAGAAAUUACCUUAAUUAAACUAAAAAAUCAUCUAUUAAAAAUUUUGGUUGGGGCGACUAAGGAACAAAAAGAGCUUCCUUUUGCACAAUAAAAUCUAUAAAUUUUGAUCCAAAAAUUUUUGAUUAAAAGAAUUAGUUACCGCAGGGAUAACAGCAUUAUCUUUUUUGAGAGCUCUUAUCGAAAAAAAGGUUUGUGACCUCGAUGUUGGACCAGAAUAUCCUAAAGAUGUAGAAGUCUUUAAGGGUUGGUCUGUUCGACCAUUAAAAUUCUACGUGAUCUGAGUUCAGACCGG
Molecule: ribosomal RNA, 548 nt
Filed under: Clavus exasperatus
Lineage: Eukaryota; Metazoa; Mollusca; Gastropoda; Neogastropoda; Drilliidae
Description: partial 16S ribosomal RNA
Rfam family: Bacterial large subunit ribosomal RNA
Source: RNAcentral